Bactrocera latifrons is the source of this 857-nucleotide long non-coding RNA. RefSeq lists it as uncharacterized. The record is from RefSeq and is a predicted model, not a curated record. The transcript has 2 exons. NCBI's taxonomy places the organism in Eukaryota, Metazoa, Arthropoda, Insecta, Diptera, Tephritidae.
GCCAGCAUAUCUAUUUCUUUGCAUACUAAAAUUGCAACCAUGUCAGCGUCCAAUAAGAAUUUGUCAUUUGUGUUUUCAAUUUUCUAGCCGCUUUUUAUUCGUAAAAUGGCAGCUGUGCGCGCUCGUUGUAUUCGUGAUUCCGUUAUCCGUUGAAUUUUUUCUUUGCGUUACGAAUGGUAGACAUAAAGUGAAUUGAAAAAGUAAAGGUUUCUAAUUCUAUUAUAAAAUAUAAAUUUGAAUUAAUAAGCGGUGGAAAAUAUUGAAUUAAUAGAAGAAAGCACUCCUUUAGCAAAGUGAUUCAAAUGGAAUUUUAAUGUACUUUGCAGUGUAAAAACAAAAGUAGAAGACGCUGCUUAUUGUUCCGCGAAAUUUCCUGCAAAGGAUGUAGUGAAAUAUUGAUGGGAGAUUGAUAUGGAGAGUGUGUUGUCUGAAGAAGUUUCAAAGUAUUGAAUUACAACAGUUUUUAGUGACUAAAAAACAAAAGUAUCCUGAAGUUCUUUGGUUUUAUUAAUGUUUUGAGAAGUGAUAAAGUAGUGUAAAGUUUCGAAAGUUGAAGUGUUUUACCGUCUUACUGGAAGGAAUUAUGUUCAGAUAACUUCCUGAUUUUCUAUCAGACGCUUUGGUACACUUACAUAUGUACAUAAUAUCCCUUUACUUCAAAGGACGAGAUAUUUAUGAAAUGUGCGUAUGUGUGUGUUCCAUAGAGAGUGUAACACUAACGAAAUAUAACAACGGAUUUGGCAAAACAAUCAAACAAUUCAUACCGGACAGGACGAGAAAAACAUUCAGAAUUAAUGAUCAAUUUCAUUUUACGAUAACAAUAGCGCAAACAACAACAACAACAGCAGCAAAAGCAU